UGAAACAAUGCUGCGUUUCAUCGCAGAGGAGUUGACGGACACGUCAGGGGUUUUCUCCCCCUCCUAAAACAUCCUCAGUUUACCUUCGGAUCAGCCCGCUAUGGACUACUCCAGUUCCCCCAGCAACCUGGACGGAUUUUGAGGAUGGUUUGCAUUUUUUAACCCUUUCCCAUUCAAGGUCAGCAGGAUGGCUGAAAAGGGGCCCGACUCUUCUGGACAACUAAAAACAUUAUUAUAGCCAGCAUCGGCUUAAAAAAA
Molecule: long non-coding RNA, 258 nt
Organism: Thalassophryne amazonica
Lineage: Eukaryota; Metazoa; Chordata; Actinopteri; Batrachoidiformes; Batrachoididae
Exons: 2
Source: RefSeq, a predicted model, not a curated record